GGGUGUUCUUUAACUUUGAUUUUCUUGGGUUUUAUUAGAUUUUACAUGUCCAUUUUGUGAAUGAUUGUUAUUAGUUUACGCACAACUCCUAUAGCAUUCAAAGGGUUUUAGUCGAGUGUUCUGAUUGCAUCAUAAAGAACAUCUACCAUCUCCGGAACAAUUCUCAGUUUUCUGUAAGAGGUUUGGCCAUGGGCGUACUACGUCAACACCAUCGCCGACUCUCUUCUGCAAGAACUGCCCUUGCUCUCCUCUUCUUUGUCAUCGCUUCCUCUGCCAUUGCCCACUCUCACUUCUCACCGAUUCACCAACUGGGUGUAGAAAGGAAAGAGACAGAGGAGACGAAAAGGGGAAAUUGGUUUCAGGUGUGGGAGAAAUUUCUGAUUCCGAGGAGAGUAGCUAGGCAUGGAUCGUCUCCGCCGACGUGCCAGUCUAAGUGUGGGAAUUGUUCACCUUGUGAGGCAGUGCGUGUGCGUAUCCAGACCCAUUGGAAAAUACUUAAUGACUACUACGCUGAAGCUUGGCGUUGCAAAUGUGGCAAUAAGUACUUCAUGCCUUGAAUUGAAGAAUAGAUGGGAAAGAAAAUAGAAAGGGCAGGGGAGGGUAGGGGAUGUUAUCAUCAUAGAGGUGUCUCUUUAUCUAUAUCUGCUACUAUGCAUUUUCUUCUGGGUUUGUAUGAAAUAAAUUUCUUUCCUGGAACAUAUAGCAAACAUGUGGUAUGCAAUUUUUAA
RNA transcript from Macadamia integrifolia, 728 nucleotides. It is a transcript of the gene named EPIDERMAL PATTERNING FACTOR-like protein 4, with no coding region annotated. The record is from RefSeq and is a predicted model, not a curated record. The transcript is spliced from 3 exons. Lineage: Eukaryota; Viridiplantae; Streptophyta; Magnoliopsida; Proteales; Proteaceae.